This is a long non-coding RNA of Entelurus aequoreus (snake pipefish), 473 nucleotides long. RefSeq lists it as uncharacterized. Lineage: Eukaryota; Metazoa; Chordata; Actinopteri; Syngnathiformes; Syngnathidae. The transcript is spliced from 4 exons. The record is from RefSeq and is a predicted model, not a curated record.
CGGGAAUUGGUGACGUCACAACCGACAGCGGAUACAGAAGACAAACAUCCCCAAACAACGUUGUUGUUUUAAUUGCUUCAAGGGUGACACAAUUCCACCUCAACCAAAGAGUGACAACAGUAAAAAAAAAAAAUAUAUAUAUAUAUUGGCCUCUGCAGUGCACUCAAUGCAAGUACUAAGCAGAGGGCGAAAGAGAGCUAUGGAAGGUCCACAGUUCACUAUCAUGUCUGAAGUCACUCCUGCAGAGUUUGGAUAUCUCUCUGAUCAAGAUGGACUUGGGUUCCAGUUCUCCUUCCUUUCUGUCCAGGUGUGCGCCUUCACUGGGUGUCUACAUCUGUUAAGUAGCGUCUCGCUGCCCCGUGUUUAGCUUAGUGAUAAGGAGCAGAGUUUCCAUUCGCUACCUCACGCACACAUUGUCACAUAACCCGGCCAUUACUUUGCAUCAUUGAGGUUUAUUUUACCUGAUAAGCACU